GAUAAGAACGCAGCAAAAUGCGAUAAGUAAUGUGAAUUGCAGAAUUCAGUGAAUCAUCGAAUCUUUGAACGCACAUUGCGCCCGCCAGUAUUCUGGCGGGCAUGCCUGUUCGAGCGUCAUUUCAACCCUCAAGCACAGCUUGGUGUUGGGACUCGCGUUAAUUCGCGUUCCUCAAAUUGAUUGGCGGUCACGUCGAGCUUCCAUAGCGUAGUAGUAAAACCCUCGUUACUGGUAAUCGUCGCGGCCACGCCGUUAAACCCCAACUUCUGAAUGUUGACCUCGGAUCAGGUAGGAAUACCCGCUGAACUUAAGCAUAUCAAUAAGCGGAGGA
This 331-nucleotide unclassified non-coding RNA is filed under the name soil metagenome. RNAcentral describes it as "partial contains 5.8S ribosomal RNA, internal transcribed spacer 2, and large subunit ribosomal RNA". The stretch from base 4 to 119 matches the Rfam family "5.8S ribosomal RNA", at positions 39 to 154 of the family's 154-position model. The record is from RNAcentral.